Solanum dulcamara is the source of this 1247-nucleotide long non-coding RNA. RefSeq lists it as uncharacterized. NCBI's taxonomy places the organism in Eukaryota, Viridiplantae, Streptophyta, Magnoliopsida, Solanales, Solanaceae. The transcript has 4 exons. The record is from RefSeq and is a predicted model, not a curated record.
ACUAAGGCAAAAACUAAAGAGAGUUUCGGCCAAAGAGGAGAAAAAAAAAUUCUUGAAAUUUCAUCCCCAAAAAUUAUAAUUUCUUGGUAUUUCCACUAAAUCAAGGGUCCUCUAUAACAUGGUAAAUUUAUUUUGGAAGAUAGAAGGCUUGUUUGGUUGAUUUGGAGCUUUGAUUAAGUGAAGAAGUUAGAAGAAAAAGAUUUUGGUGGAAACGGGAAUUGGAGUUGGACAACCGUAAAAAGCCAAUAAGGCUGUGUUACAUGCCCGCAGGUACCGAAGUUCGAUUUGCUGAUCCACCUAUUUAGGACAUUUGCUGCGUCGUUGACAGUGCUCCCUUGUUCGGAGCUUGUAUUUUGGUACUGACUUUAUCUCUGUAUAUUUGGAUAUGUUGGUCAGGGGUACGACGGGGCUCUGUCCCGUCAUAUAACUAUGUUAUCAUCUGUAGAGGUCUAUAGACAGAGUUAUGUUGUGGGUUUCGUAUAUAUGGUUUGGGUUUUGUGUAUUUGUGACGGCCUAUCAGCUCUCGUGCCUAUAUCUACUUUUAUGAUUUGUUUAGCAAUUUCUUAUAAUCACUACCUAUAUUUAUUCGGUUAAAAUGGCUAAUUUGGGAUAAAAGUACGUUUGGGUGCUCAAUUAGGGCACCAGUCGCGGCCUAUGGGGUUGGGUCGUGACAGAUAUGCUCUUCAUAUUUUGCAUCAAUUGUAGUGUUGCAAGCCACAACGAGGGAGCACAAUAUAAGAUUGAAUCAUGGUUUACUUUAGAGAUUUGACUUCUUCUUCUUUAGGGUUGUGGUACCUAGUGAUAUCAAAUCAUAAAGACAGUGUUGUGGAGACCAAACUGUUUGUAAGUACGAACUUAGCUGGCCAAUAUGCUGCUCCAUGGCCAUCUUUGGGGGAACUUCCUGGUUUAGAUGAUUAGACUCUUGAAUAUAACAGUCGUUCUCCCGAGACGUGGGUAUUUUGCACUCCUAAUCAUCGUACCAAAAAUAUUGCAACUUCUUUACCAUGUUUGGAAAGACGAAUCAUUAAUGGAGAGACUCGAUGGGAUGACACUUUCACACUUGAUGGAGAGUUUCACUAUAUUUCAGGCUAUUGGGAGUAGGCUGAAGAUAUCCUUAGCAGGAAUUGCCAGACUUUGAAGGAUGCAAAAAUAUAUGAUGCUGUAUAUGGUUCACUUUUUACUUAUGAUCGUAACACUAACAUCUUACAAGUCUUCUACGAAGCUUGGUAUCCUGUUAUAAAUAUACU